UGGGGAAUUUUGGACAAUGGGCGAAAGCCUGAUCCAGCAAUGCCGCGUGUGUGAAGAAGGCCUUCGGGUUGUAAAGCACUUUUGUCCGGAAAGAAAUCCUUGGCUCUAAUACAGUCGGGGGAUGACGGUACCGGAAGAAUAAGCACCGGCUAACUACGUGCCAGCAGCCGCGGUAAUACGUAGGGUGCAAGCGUUAAUCGGAAUUACUGGGCGUAAAGCGUGCGCAGGCGGUUUGCUAAGACCGAUGUGAAAUCCCCGGGCUCAACCUGGGAACUGCAUUGGUGACUGGCAGGCUAGAGUAUGGCAGAGGGGGGUAGAAUUCCACGUGUAGCAGUGAAAUGCGUAGAGAUGUGGAGGAAUACCGAUGGCGAAGGCAGCCCCCUGGGCCAAUACUGACGCUCAUGCACGAAAGCGUGGGGAGCAAACAGGAUUAGAUACCCUGGUAGUCCACGCCCUAAACGAUGUCAACUAGUUGUUGGGGAUUCAUUCCUUAGUAACGUAGCUAACGCGUGAAGUUGACCGCCUGGGGAGUACGGUCGCAAGAUUAAACUCAAAGGAAUUGACGGGGUCAUAGCUGUUUCCU
This 583-nucleotide ribosomal RNA is filed under the name uncultured bacterium. RNAcentral describes it as "partial 16S ribosomal RNA". It matches the Rfam family "Bacterial small subunit ribosomal RNA", at positions 355 to 1375 of the family's 1533-position model. The record is from RNAcentral.